GACUUUCAGCUAAGGUAAGCAAUGUCUUUGAAAGGGUCAGUUAUAGAUUGAACUACUUGUUCUACUACUUUACCCCUUCUCACUGCUGUAUUUGACUAGUCUAAA
RNAcentral lists this small RNA (105 nucleotides) under Microcebus murinus (gray mouse lemur). RNAcentral describes it as "Y RNA (ENSMICG00000023393.3)". Lineage: Eukaryota; Metazoa; Chordata; Mammalia; Primates; Cheirogaleidae. The record is from RNAcentral.